AAGGUUGAUGAAGAAGAUGUCGUCUCUCACAUCUUUGCCGGAUUGGAUGAGGAGUUCGACCCAGUGGUCUCGGCCAUGUGCUCCAGGGUCGAACCGGUCACGGUUCCGGAGCUGUACUCACAGCUGCUGAGCUUCGAGG
Molecule: non-coding RNA, 139 nt
Organism: Triticum aestivum (bread wheat)
Lineage: Eukaryota; Viridiplantae; Streptophyta; Magnoliopsida; Poales; Poaceae
Source: Rfam